GGCUGCGGUGCCACAACCGGACCCGAGCUCAGGACGCCCCUGAGAUGGACCUUUGGUCGCGAGGUAUGCUGUUUCUCUGAAAAACAUCGGCCUUGUGGAACCUCUGAAGGGGAUCUUCUCUGAUCAAGCUAUGGUGAACAAUGUUUCGGAAAGGCAAGAAACGACAUAGUAGCAGCAGUUCCCAAAGCAGUGAAAUCAGUACUAAGAGCAAGGUAGGGGAAGGCCCC
Long non-coding RNA from Tupaia belangeri chinensis (Chinese tree shrew), 227 nucleotides. RefSeq lists it as uncharacterized. The transcript is spliced from 3 exons. NCBI's taxonomy places the organism in Eukaryota, Metazoa, Chordata, Mammalia, Scandentia, Tupaiidae. The record is from RefSeq and is a predicted model, not a curated record.